AAGAUAUAAUUUCAUACGACUCAUAUAAUUUUGGGAAUAUGGCCCAUAAGUUUCUACCGGAUGACCACCGUAAUCGUCCGACUAUGAGUGACAGCGAGCGCGCC
RNAcentral lists this non-coding RNA (104 nucleotides) under Paenibacillus sp. RNAcentral's name for it is "Guanine sequence". It matches the Rfam family "Purine riboswitch aptamer". Rfam says of the family: Riboswitches are metabolite binding domains within certain messenger RNAs that serve as precision sensors for their corresponding targets. Allosteric rearrangement of mRNA structure is mediated by ligand binding, and this results in modulation of gene expression. A class of riboswitches that selectively recognises guanine and becomes saturated at concentrations as low as 5 nM. RNAcentral also lists the same sequence under 1 other name. The record is from RNAcentral. Lineage: Bacteria; Bacillati; Bacillota; Bacilli; Caryophanales; Paenibacillaceae.